AAUACGAACUCUCCAUCACGCGUUAAUCUCGAAUGAAUCACAGUGUGCUCCUCCGGACCGGGAGAUUUGUAGCUGCCGCAGUGGCUUGUUCCAACAGCGGACAUUUGAUGUUUGAGAUCCGGACGCGUCUGCAGUGCUGGAUUUUGCAGUUCUUCACAUCUGAAGUGAAUGAGAGCAACAGACCAACACUCUCUCUCUCUCUUCAUAAAACCCUGAGACCCUGACGGGAGACUUGUCAUCUUAAAAGAUUUUCUGUAAGGGCAUCUGAUUGGAUACUUGAGAACCCAGGAGCACCAACAAAAUCUCUGCAGCUGCACGGGAUGCAAUAUGAAAAUCUGGUCAUGAGCUGGUAUCUGAUGAGAAAUGUGGUCCUCGGAAGACACAAGCAAUUCCUGCCCUCUGGGAGGCUUUGCAUGGGAUCGCUCAGAUACGAAAUCUGAAAAUCUUUU
Myxocyprinus asiaticus (Chinese sucker) is the source of this 449-nucleotide long non-coding RNA. RefSeq lists it as uncharacterized. NCBI's taxonomy places the organism in Eukaryota, Metazoa, Chordata, Actinopteri, Cypriniformes, Catostomidae. The transcript is spliced from 3 exons. The record is from RefSeq and is a predicted model, not a curated record.